This 475-nucleotide ribosomal RNA is filed under the name uncultured bacterium. Its description in RNAcentral is "bacterial SSU rRNA". It matches the Rfam family "Bacterial small subunit ribosomal RNA", at positions 328 to 793 of the family's 1533-position model. The record is from RNAcentral.
UCAGUCGACUCCUACGGGGAGGCAGCAGUGGGGAAUAUUGCACAAUGGGGGAAACCCUGAUGCAGCCAUGCCGCGUGUGUGAAGAAGGCCUUCGGGUUGUAAAGCACUUUCAGUAGGGAGGAAGGUAGUGUAGUUAACACCUGCAUUAUUUGACGUUACCUACAGAAGAAGCACCGGCUAACUCCGUGCCAGCAGCCGCGGUAAUACGGAGGGUGCGAGCGUUAAUCGGAAUUACUGGGCGUAAAGCGCAUGCAGGCGGCCUGUUAAGUCAGAUGUGAAAGCCCGGGGCUUAACCUCGGAAUUGCAUUUGAAACUGGCAGGCUAGAGUCUUGUAGAGGGGGGUAGGAAUUUCAGGUGUAGCGGUGAAAUGCGUAGAGAUCUGAGGGAAUACCAGUGGCGAAGGCGGCCCCCUGGACAAAGACUGACGCUCAGAUGCGAAAGCGUGGGGAGCAAACAGGAUUAGAUACCCUGGUAG